GAACGGGUGAGUAACGCGUGAGGAACCUGCCUCAAAGAGGGGGACAACNGUUGGAAACGACUGCUAAUACCGCAUAAGCCCACGGGUCGGCAUCGACCAGAGGGAAAAGGAGCAAUCCGCUUUGAGAUGGCCUCGCGUCCGAUUAGCUAGUUGGUGAGGUAAUGGCCCACCAAGGCGACGAUCGGUAGCCGGACUGAGAGGUUGAACGGCCACAUUGGGACUGAGACACGGCCCAGACUCCUACGGGAGGCAGCAGUGGGGAAUAUUGCACAAUGGGGGAAACCCUGAUGCAGCGACGCCGCGUGGAGGAAGAAGGUCUUCGGAUUGUAAACUCCUGUUGUUGAGGAAGAUAAUGACGGUACUCAACAAGGAAGUGACGGCUAACUACGUGCCAGCAGCCGCGGUAAAACGUAGGUCACAAGCGUUGUCCGGAAUUACUGGGUGUAAAGGGAGCGCAGGCGGGAAGACAAGUUGGAAGUGAAAUCUAUGGGCUCAACCCAUAAACUGCUUUCAAAACUGUUUUUCUUGAGUAGUGCAGAGGUAGGCGGAAUUCCCGGUGUAGCGGUGGAAUGCGUAGAUAUCGGGAGGAACACCAGUGGCGAAGGCGGCCUACUGGGCACCAACUGACGCUGAGGCUCGAAAGUGUGGGUAGCAAACAGGAUUAGAUACCCUGGUAGNCNCACCGUAAACGAUGAUUACUAGGUGU
This 706-nucleotide ribosomal RNA is filed under the name uncultured bacterium. Its description in RNAcentral is "bacterial SSU rRNA". It matches the Rfam family "Bacterial small subunit ribosomal RNA", at positions 100 to 823 of the family's 1533-position model. The record is from RNAcentral.